GCACUCAUCGGGGAAGGGUGAGAACCUUCGACUAAGGUUCGAUUCGAGCGAAAGCGAGAGAACGUUGCCACAGGCAACGGCCCGAAGGGUGAGGAGCGAAGCGACGAAUAAUCCUUUCCCCACCACCA
RNAcentral lists this small RNA (128 nucleotides) under Escherichia coli. RNAcentral's name for it is "RtT sRNA". It matches the Rfam family "RtT RNA". Rfam says of the family: This family represents a bacterial cis-regulatory element known as RtT RNA. The exact function of RtT is unknown although it is thought that it may be involved in changing the cellular response in relation to amino acid starvation. Lineage: Bacteria; Pseudomonadati; Pseudomonadota; Gammaproteobacteria; Enterobacterales; Enterobacteriaceae. The record is from RNAcentral.